This 409-nucleotide ribosomal RNA is filed under the name Loktanella sp. Asnod1E02. Its description in RNAcentral is "bacterial SSU rRNA". It matches the Rfam family "Bacterial small subunit ribosomal RNA", at positions 384 to 809 of the family's 1533-position model. Lineage: Bacteria; Pseudomonadati; Pseudomonadota; Alphaproteobacteria; Rhodobacterales; Roseobacteraceae. The record is from RNAcentral.
UGNUCUAGCGNUGCCGCGUGAGUGACGAAGGUCUUAGGAUCGUAAAGCUCUUUCGCCAGGGAUGAUAAUGACAGUACCUGGUAAAGAAACCCCGGCUAACUCCGUGCCAGCAGCCGCGGUAAUACGGAGGGGGUUAGCGUUGUUCGGAAUUACUGGGCGUAAAGCGCACGUAGGCGGAUCAAUAAGUUAGAGGUGAAAUCCCAGGGCUCAACCCUGGAACUGCCUUUAAUACUGUUGGUCUAGAGUUCGAGAGAGGUAAGUGGAAUUCCGAGUGUAGAGGUGAAAUUCGUAGAUAUUCGGAGGAACACCAGUGGCGAAGGCGGCUUACUGGCUCGAUACUGACGCUGAGGUGCGAAAGUGUGGGGAGCAAACAGGAUUANAUACCCUGGUAGUCNACUGCUGCCUCCCG